AGGAUUGUAGUUAAUUAUAACAUUUGGUUUGCAUCCAAAAAGUAUUGAAGAUCAAUCAAUCUUA
RNAcentral lists this transfer RNA (64 nucleotides) under Scopura montana. RNAcentral's name for it is "tRNA-Ala". It matches the Rfam family "tRNA". From Rfam's summary of the family: Transfer RNA (tRNA) molecules are approximately 80 nucleotides in length. Lineage: Eukaryota; Metazoa; Arthropoda; Insecta; Plecoptera; Scopuridae. The record is from RNAcentral.